UGGCGAACGGGUGAGUAACACGUGGGUAACCUGCCCAUCAGAAGGGGAUAACACUUGGAAACAGGUGCUAAUACCGUAUAACACUAUUUUCCGCAUGGAAGAAAGUUGAAAGGCGCUUUUGCGUCACUGAUGGAUGGACCCGCGGUGCAUUAGCUAGUUGGUGAGGUAACGGCUCACCAAGGCAACGAUGCAUAGCCGACCUGAGAGGGUGAUCGGCCACACUGGGACUGAGACACGGCCCAGACUCCUACGGGAGGCAGCAGUAGGGAAUCUUCGGCAAUGGACGAAAGUCUGACCGAGCAACGCCGCGUGAGUGAAGAAGGUUUUCGGAUCGUAAAAACUCUGUUGUUA
This 351-nucleotide ribosomal RNA is filed under the name Enterococcus casseliflavus. RNAcentral's name for it is "bacterial SSU rRNA". It matches the Rfam family "Bacterial small subunit ribosomal RNA", at positions 96 to 441 of the family's 1533-position model. The record is from RNAcentral. Lineage: Bacteria; Bacillati; Bacillota; Bacilli; Lactobacillales; Enterococcaceae.